AACCUGGUUGAUCCUGCCAAUAGUCAUAUGCUUGUCUCAAAGAUUAAGCCAUGCAUGUCUAAGUAUAAGCACUUGUACUAUGAAACUGCGAAUGGCUCAUUAAAUCAGUUAUCGUUUAUUUGAUUGUACCUUACUACAUGGAUACCUGUGGUAAUUCUAGGGCUAAUACAUGCGAAAAAUCCCGACUUCUGGAAGGGAUGUAUUUAUUAGAUUAAAAACCAAUGCGGGUCUUCGGGCCCGUUUCCUUGGUGACUCAUGAUAACUUUUCGAAUCGCAUGGCCUAGCGCCGGCGAUAUUUCAUUCAAAUUUCUGCCCUAUCAACUGUCGAUGGUAAGGUAGUGGCUUACCAUGGUUAUAACGGGUGACGGAGAAUUAGGGUUCGAUUCCGGAGAGGGAGCCUGAGAAACGGCUACCACAUCUAAGGAAGGCAGCAGGCUCGAAAAUUACCCAAAUCCCAAUUCGGGGAGGUAGUGACAAGAAAUAACGAUACGGGGUCUUAAUAGGUCU
This 507-nucleotide ribosomal RNA is filed under the name uncultured eukaryote. RNAcentral's name for it is "SSU rRNA". It matches the Rfam family "Eukaryotic small subunit ribosomal RNA", at positions 1 to 503 of the family's 1831-position model. The record is from RNAcentral.